UCUGGUUGACGGAGACUUCAUGGAUGCCCCCAGUCGGAACAGCAGGGAAUCCAGGGCCACCCAUGCCACCACCAAACCCAAAGGCACCACCAUCUGCGCCACCAAAACCAUAGGAAAUCCCAGUGCCAGCACCAAAACCUGCAGGUCCAUAGAAGCCACCACCCCUUCCAGCCACGGAGAUCCUCUUGCAUCCGCCGACAUUGUAGAGGCUCCUGCUUCCAAAACCUCCACCAAAUCUUCCAUACCCAGCAGCAGUGCCGCAGCUUCCACCUUGGGAAGUUGAACGUGAGAUGAAGCUGGUGCUGCAGGCAUUCGGGAUGAAGGCAGAAGCAGCACUGAACCCAGUUUUGCACUGAUUCCUUGCAACACACUGGCGAGACAUGGCAGCUGAUGUGAGCAGGGCGAGAGCAAUAGGGAGAAUAAAGCAGUGAGGAAGUGGAUGAGGGAGGGAAGGUGAAGUUGUGCUCCCCAGGCUCAGGCUGGCCCUUUUAUACCCUUACAAGCAGGGGAUGGGUCUGGUGUGGUGCUCGUCUUACUGAUUAACCGGCACGCCUAGCAGCAAUGCGAACGACCGCAGCCUCUGGACGUGGCGGUUGAGCUCGGAGAUCUCCUGCUUGGUGUUGCGGAGGUCGUCCCCGUGCCUGCCGGCGGUAGCCUGCAGUUCCUCGUACUGUCAUGGAGAGAGGAACAACCGGUCAAGGUAAAAUCCAUCGUUUUUUCAGUAACACAGUGUGUGGCAGGGUGGUUGCUUGAAAGCAUUGGAUGCCUCCCCAAGCCCACACUAGCAGCUGAGUUGCUGCUGUGCAAUGCACAGUACUGGAGAAAGUUUUCUUGGAAGAGUCAGUCCUUUUCUGUUCAAGACAAGACAUGAAGAUAACAGCACGGAAAACCCCAAUUCCUUCACCUUGGUUUGGUACCAGGACUCGGCUUCAGCCCGGCUCCUGUUGGCGAUGUCCUCGUACUGAGCUUUGACCUCUGAGAUGAUGCUGUCCAGGUCCAGGUUUCGGUUGUUGUCCAUGGUGAGAACGACGGAGGUGUCGGAGAUCUGGGUCUGCAUCUGAGACAGCUCCUGCAAAGUGCGCAGCGACUAGGUGAGCUCACUCACUUGAGAGAUGCCUUUUCAUCCUUACAGAUGAGCAUGCAGACCUGGGAGAGGCUACAGAUUGUUAUCUAAGGAGCUAAGACAGUUGGUGUAACUCUAAAGAGGUAAAGGAUUUAGCAUCUCCUGGGGGAAGAAAUUAAAGGCUUUCAGAGGAACGGAGGGAGGGAAGCUCCGAACUGAGGACUGAAAUGUCUUGGGAGGUGGUUGUACUUACUGCUUCGUAGAGGGCUCUCAGGAAAUUAAUUUCUUCAGUCAGCGCAUCUACCUUGGCUUGUAGUUCAACCUUGUUCAUAUAGGAAGCAUCUACAUCCUGGAGGACGAGAGAAUUAGGUAAUAGAUUUUAAACUCUUGUUCGCAAGUCAGGGAUGUGCUUAUCUCCACAAUAACAGGCCAGGGAAGAAGGCAUAAAAAAGCAUUUAGAAUAUGAAUGGAUGGAUUUGUGAAUGAAUAGGUGAUUAGAGCUCUACAAAUAAUCAUCAGAUGCUGUUCUGCAAUUUGCUCUCACCUUCUUAAGUGUCACAAAUUCAUUUUCUGCAACUGUACGCCUGUUGAUUUCAUCUUCAUACCUAAUGGAGGGAGGCAGAAGAAGCAUUUGUUUAGGCAAGUAACAAACGGAGGUGAUUUUAGUUUGCUGGAAUGAACUUCCUUAAGAGCAUUUUGCAUACAAUGAUCUUUUCUUUUGCAGAGCAUCUGAAUAAGAGACCAUGAGCAUGUUCCUAGGCUAAACUAGUUAAAACAAGUACAUCUAAUUUUUUUAAAGAAUCUCUGCUGUUCCUUUUUUCAUCUUUCUGGCCCUUAGUCAUACUCCUCUUGCUUGUCUUAAGCAAAUUAAGCAUGCUGUCCUGAAACUUUCAGACCUACCAUGUAUUUUUUUUUCCUCAGUAGGUAAUUUAGUUAAUAAGUCUUUGAUCAUAUUCUAAAUUAUUCACAAAAUGUUUGUGUAUUUGGAUCUGCUACUCCAUUACCGUUUAUCUUGAGAAAAUGGCACAGCCUUUGCUGUCGGGAAUUCCUGUGUCCUGGUCUAUUUGUUAGAGGACUUAUCUGGAUCCCCUGCUUGGCUUAAGGAUGUCAAAUGGAGAAAGGCUGCACCUAUCUAGCACUGAGCGUGACAGACGGAGCUCCAGAACAUGGGAAACUGUACGGUGUGGAGCUGUGGAGGAUGUUAUCGUAGGGAGGACUGACCACUUACCGCUUCGUAGAGAGCUCUCAGGAAGUUAAUUUCAUCUGCCAGCGCAUCUGCUUUGGCCUGCAGCUCAACCUUGUUCAUGUAAGCACCAUCCACAUCCUAAAGAAAAGAAAACCAAAGACAUCUGGGUGAAACCACAAAACAAAAGGGCACCAGGAGGACCCUCUCUCUGCUUCCAGGUAUCGUUUAGGGAAGCCCGAGGGAUCUGACCAGGACCUCCAUACACUGGAGCUGCUUCCGUGGGUGAAUGAAUCCUGUGAUAAAUGCUGAGCCUGCGUGCAACCAACAUAGCUAGAGGUAACUGCAACCAAAUUUUGGUUUUGUAUGUUCAUUUUGCUGGGAAGAGGAACCCAGUGCAAAUGCAAGGCAUGCGCCAGAGAGCGCAAACCACCUGCCCUGAUUUUCACAUCUAUUAAUCUACACAGCGCAAUCUCUUACUUGUUCUUAAAGUCUUCCACCAUGUCCUGCAUGUUCCUCAGCUCAGAGUCCAACCGUCCCCUCUCUCCCAUAAGACUGUCUAGCUGCCGCCUGAGGUUGUUGAUGUAGGCUUCGAAAAGGGGCUCAAGGGACUUCCUGGUGACCGUGUGGCCCUGCUCUUGCAGGAGGCUCCAUUUGGUCUCCAGCACUUUGUUCUGCUGCUCCAAAAAUCGCACCUGAGAAAACAAAAACAGGCACGCGCUGAAACCCAUCCGACAGCGCACAAAGCCCCUUGCCAGGGACAGGAGGGAUUGUUCAACACGGAAAGAGACAGCAAAGAGACUGGAAUUAGGAUCUUUCCACAGGAAUUUAGGGCACCAGAUUCUCUAAAGUAGGACAAGCAGCUGAGACGCCUGGGGAGAAUUUUCAAGAGCCAUUAAGCCGGCCAAGCACCUGUAAUUGCAACUUUAGCUGUUUCUCCCCCCGCUGGAUGCUCAGCCCACCUUACUGGUUUAAACUAGUAGUAUCCCAUUGAGAGGCAUGGAGGUUUGAAAUUUACAACCCGUGGAAGAUCCAUCCUCCCAGCAUUUUUUUAUGGGGAAGGGGGGAUUUCCAAUUUAGGAAAAUGAGGUGCUGAAAAACUCAUCCUUGCAAAGAGCAUGAGACAAUUCUUAGUUUUCAGCCAAACCUGUGCUGUUUGUCGGUUGGGAUUAGUUCAGGCAAGCCCCCAAAUCCAAAGGAAGUUUCUUCCUGUUCUUCUUUCCCGAGGCAACUGAGAAUAUGCACGGGCUGGUGUUUAAGACCAAACUCUCACCUUGUCGAUGAAGGAGGCAAAUUUGUUGUUGAGGGUCUUGAUCUGCUCCCGCUCGUGUGUUCGCACCUUCUGGAUUUCUGGGUCAAUAUCCAGCUUGAGGGGUGCCAGGAGGCUCUGGUUGACGGUCACUUCGUGGAUGCCACCGGGUGGGCAAACAGGGAACCCGGGGCCACCUCGACCAGCAAAUCCAGGACCUCCCAGCCCAAAUCCACCACCCAGCCCAUAGCCGCCACCACCACCAGCUCCUCCUAAGCCAAAACCAGCGCCUGCACCACCACCAUAGCCAAGACCAAAGCCAGCUCCUCCACCAAAGCUGUAUCCGCCACCGGCUCCACUCCGUAGACCUCCACCGACUGAGCUGUAGGAAAUUCUUUUACUUCCACCUAAGUUAUAGAGACUUCUGCUCCCGAAGCCGCCACCAGCUCCGAAGCCUCCUCCACCUCCAGCUCUUCCUCCUCCAACUCUGGAGACAGAGACAGAGCUAAAACUGCUUCUGGUACUACUGCCACCUCCUACGAUAGCAGAGCCUGAGCUAAAGCCCCUCAUGCCCCCUCCAGUUGAUGAUCUGUAAGAGAUCCGACUCAUGGUGGCUUGUUCAAUUGGAAAUGCAAAGAGCAGGAGUGGAAAAAAAAGCUGGUGAAUAAAAGCUGAGCAGCAGGAAAGGAGCAGAGGGCAACGGAGACAGAAACCCCUGUGAUGGGAGAGCUCGGGAGCCUCCUCUUUUAUCUGCUUGGAAAACUUGGCACGGGAAUUCAGAACUUGACGUGCCUUGCAGCAACUUGCCUUGUCAAACACACCUAGACUACGGCGAGGCGCUGAAAAAUGCAUUGUUUGCAGGCAAGAAAGUAACGGAGUGAGGGAGCUACCCCCACCCCCAAAGCCUGGUGCUCUGAGUCAUGAAAUGAGAAUUGAAUGGGACGACUCGCCGAGGUCUGUGCUCAUGAGCAGGACGCAACACGAUUCUCCCGAGACCCUGGAAGCCAGUUUUCCUUAUGCCAGCCAGGGCUCACCCAUUGCAGUGAGCUUCCUUGUGCUGAAGCCUUUGCAAGGUGAAGUUUAGGGUUCAACACAUCACACGGCGAACAAAGCAGCACAGACAGGGGCUGAUCUUUCCGAAACUGCCCUGUCGUGGUGUCCAUGCCCUGUUGUUGGUUUGGGAAAGCUGAGGCUGAAGGUGAUUUUACUUCUCAGCACAGCUAUUUUGAUUUCUUUUGGAAAAGGGCUCUAAAGGAUCGCAGGCUGGUGGAGAGGAGCUGGGUGGAAGUUGUCUCCUGGUAGUAUUUUUUGGGAUCUUACCAGAAAGUUGCCUCUCCUCUUUGCAGGAGGAACUGAGAAAUUAGUUAUCAUGGCUUUCAAAGACAGCGAGGGAAUCGCCCUUCCAAAAUAAUGUGAAACUGCAUUAAAUAGUACUAUGGCACUUCUAAAACAGAUAUUAAAGAGAUGAUUGAAAGGGUUGCACUUGUUUUGAGUCUUCUCGUCAGGCUGAGGGUUCAAAAGCUCUCUGUGAAGUGGUAUUUUUAUCACUCCCCCACCAUAUUUACCCUCUAACCAGCAGCUUCCACAUCACUGCUGGCUCCUCGAGAUGUUCUCUGUAGGGGAAUUCGCCCACUUUCCUUCCAGCUUCCUCCCACCCCUCCUUCGCUCUGCUGAGAUCAUGCAGUCGGAUGAUUUUUGAAAACAUCUUUGGCCCCUUGAUCUUGAGCUCUCAGGUGAACCCAGGGGCUGAGAUGGGGUUGGGUCGUGUUUUGGGAUGGUGCAAAGGCAGGAAAGCCAGGACCUCAUCCCUCGUGCCCACAGAGAGCUGGAUGUGGGUUACAAGAGAUGUCCCCUCCUUCCCACCCAAAGCAAGUCUGCAAAGCAAACUCAGCCCAGCCACAUCCUUGUGCUGCAAGGGCCACCAACCUCCAUCGGGUUGUAUGUCAGAUGAACUAAUAGUGCACAGCAGAGAGAUAAAACUGAAUCAAAAAAGAUUUUUUGAAAUUGGCUACGUGAGCAAUAAGUACGGGAACUUAAUCCAAAAUGAGUUGCUUAAGGGUAUCUGCAGCAUCUCAUAGCUUGUUUCUGUUGAUGUGCUUCCAACUGCCGUUUUCUCUGUCUGGGAACUUGAAAGAACCUGAGCAGAAGGGAUUUUUUUGUUUGUUUUCCUUAUUGCAAUCAUAAAAGCCGGCGCUCACAACUAUCAUCUCCUGCAAGCGCUCCUGUCACCGCCUAUUGCCAAUAGCGUGAGUCACGAGCACCCGAAGCGCGUUCGGGCGAGCUAUCGGGGAGCCGAUCACCAGGCGUGCUGCACGGGAGCAAGCCGGGCGGUAGCAAGGGGGUGCUCUCGCCUCGGGAGUGGAGACCGGGAACCCGCCGGGUGCUGCGCAAUGAGCUGGAAAUGCCAAAAUUCCCAGGAAAACUGCACCCACACUCGCGCAUCCUGAAGCUGCUGUAGCCAGCAUCGAGCCCUGAUUUAAUGGGUGAUGAUGCAGGUAACCCCAAUAACUGCUGCUGGUUUGGAUCAGCAGCAAUCCCAGGAAUGUUACCAGGCUUAUACUGGUAUUGAAACUAAAUAAAUUGUGUUGGAAAUGUGGCAGAUGUACAGAGAUUUGGUUUCCAAACCUGCAGAUGGGAGUUGGCACAUGUGAGCUGGAUCUGGUGGAAGGGGGCCAGGCAGCAGCGGCCGGGAGCCUGCCUUUGACUUCCAAAGCGCUAUGCAAAGUCACACCUGGGAACCAGAGCACAGGCUGCAAAUGCUUUAAUUAAAGAAAAGAGAAAGGAUUCAUGUUUAAGGCAGUCAUUACCUCCCCAGCUCUUCUAGGAAAGCCUGUUGCUGCAGACAACGGUAAUUAAGUGGAAUAUUACAAAGGGCAAAGCAAAUGAUGGUUUAGGCACAAAAAAAAAAAAAAAAAAAAAAAAAACA
Oxyura jamaicensis (ruddy duck) is the source of this 6421-nucleotide long non-coding RNA. RefSeq lists it as uncharacterized. The record is from RefSeq and is a predicted model, not a curated record. The transcript is spliced from 4 exons. NCBI's taxonomy places the organism in Eukaryota, Metazoa, Chordata, Aves, Anseriformes, Anatidae.